AUUGAACGCUGGCGGCAUGCUUUACACAUGCAAGUCGGACGGCAGCACAGAGAAGCUUGCUUCUUGGGUGGCGAGUGGCGAACGGGUGAGUAACAUAUCGGAACGUACCGAGCAGUGGGGGAUAACUAAUCGAAAGAUUAGCUAAUACCGCAUAUUUUCUGAGGAAGAAAGCAGGGGACCUUUGGGCCUUGCGCUGUUUGAGCGGCCGAUAUCUGAUUAGCUAGUUGGUGGGGUAAAGGCCUACCAAGGCGACGAUCAGUAGCGGGUCUGAGGGGAUGAUCCGCCACACUGGGACUGAGACACGGCCCAGACUCCUACGGGAGGCAGCAGUGGGGAAUUUUGGACAAUGGGCGCAAGCCUGAUCCAGCCAUGCCGCGUGUCUGAAGAAGGCCUUCGGGUUGUAAAGGACUUUUGUCAGGGAAGAAAAGGGCGGGGUUAAUACCCCUGUCUGAUGACGGUACCUGAAGAAUAAGCACCGGCUAACUACGUG
Molecule: ribosomal RNA, 490 nt
Filed under: uncultured bacterium
Lineage: Bacteria
Description: partial 16S ribosomal RNA
Rfam family: Bacterial small subunit ribosomal RNA
Source: RNAcentral